This 456-nucleotide long non-coding RNA is filed under the name Trifolium pratense (red clover). RNAcentral describes it as "long non-coding RNA (TPRA_LNC011861)". The record is from RNAcentral. Lineage: Eukaryota; Viridiplantae; Streptophyta; Magnoliopsida; Fabales; Fabaceae.
AAAAAUUUAUACUCAUGGCAGCGACAAUAAUGACUCAGUAACAAAGUGUCCAGAAAUAAAUAUAGUGAGCUCGAUGCUUCAAAAAAAUACAGAGAGCUCGAGACAAAAGGAUCUGGUACUUAUUUCUUGUGGGUGAGCGUGAGCUUGGUAUGGUUCGAAACUGAUUUGAAAUGCGGGGAUUGAAAAUACAAACAUCUUUGAUCGUAAAAUAAAUUGGUGGAAUUCGUAAAUAAGAUAGUGAGGAAUAUAAAUCUGAUUUUUUUUUUUAAGAUCGAAUUUUGUGGUGUGCGGAAAUGGCCUUUGAAGGCGGAGGAGCUCUAACAAGAACAGUGGUAGUUUGUUGAGUUGUUUGGUGUCGGUGAUAGAGUUUGACAAGGGGAGAAAAAUGGCGGUGGUGGCACGUCCAUUGGUGGUAGCUGGUCGGUAGUGGAGAUACUCUGUUGCUAUAUAUUUUGG